Molecule: transfer RNA, 77 nt
Filed under: Olavius algarvensis Gamma 1 endosymbiont
Lineage: Bacteria; Pseudomonadati; Pseudomonadota; Gammaproteobacteria
Rfam family: tRNA
About the family: Transfer RNA (tRNA) molecules are approximately 80 nucleotides in length. Their secondary structure includes four short double-helical elements and three loops (D, anti-codon, and T loops).
Source: RNAcentral
GGCUACGUAGCUCAGUUGGUUAGAGCGCGGCACUCAUAAUGCCGAUGUCAGUAGUUCGACUCUACUCGUAGCCACCA